AGAGUUUGCUCCUGGCUCAGGACGAACGCUGGCGGCGUGCCUAACACAUGCAAGUCGAGGGGAAAAUCACUUUCGGGUGAUGAGUAUACUGGCGGACGGGUGAGUAACGCGUAGGUGACCUACCCUUAUGUUUGGGAUAACCUUGCGAAAGCGGGGCUAAUACCGGAUGUGGUUCUCAUGGUGCCUGCCAUGGGGAUUAAAGUUGUCUGGGGUGACCCGGGUAACGCAUAAGGAUGGGCCUGCGUUCCAUUAGCUAGUUGGUGAGGUAAGGGCUCACCAAGGCGACGAUGGAUAGCUGGUCUGAGAGGACGACCAGCCACACUGGGACUGAGAUACGGCCCAGACUCCUACGGGAGGCAGCAGUGGGGAAUAUUGCGCAAUGCCCGCAAGGGUGACGCAGCGACCCCGCGUGGGUGAAGAAGCUCUACGGAGUGUAAAGCCCUGUCAGAGGGGAAGAACGGCCUGGAUUCGUAAGGGUUCAGGUGUGACGGUACCCUCAGAGGAAGCUCCGGCUAACUCCGUGCCAGCAGCCGCGGUAAUACGGGGGGAGCAAGCGUUGUCCGGAAUCACUGGGCGUAAAGGGCGUGUAGGCGGGCGACCGAGUCAGAUGUAAAAGGCGACGGCUUAGCCGUAGUAUGUCAUCUGAUACUGGUUGUCUUGAGUUCGAGAGAGGGUGGUGGAAUUCCCGGUGUAGCGGUGAAAUGCGUAGAUAUCGGGAAGAACACCGGAAGCGAAGGCGGCCACCUGGAUCGAUACUGACGCCGAGGCGCGAAAGCGUGGGGAGCAAACAAGAUUAGAUACCCUGGUAGUCCACGCUGUAAACG
RNAcentral lists this ribosomal RNA (824 nucleotides) under uncultured bacterium. Its description in RNAcentral is "bacterial SSU rRNA". It matches the Rfam family "Bacterial small subunit ribosomal RNA", at positions 8 to 808 of the family's 1533-position model. The record is from RNAcentral.